CAAGGAAUUUUCCCCAAUGGGCUCACGCCUGAGGGAGCAACGCCGCGUGCAGGACGACGGCCUUCGGGUUGUAAACUGCUUUUAGGGGGGAAGACCACGACGGUACCCCCUGAAUAAGCCCCGGCUAACUCCGUGCCAGCAGCCGCGGUAAGACGGAGGGGGCAAGCGUUGUCCGGAAUCACUGGGCGUAAAGCGCGCGUAGGUGGCACAGUGCGUCGGUGCUGAAAGCGCCGGGCUUAACCCGGCGAGGUGCAGCGAUACGACUGAGCUCGAGGCAGGGAGAGGGUGGCGGAAUUCCGGGUGUAGUGGUGAAAUGCGUAGAGAUCCGGAGGAACGCCAGUGGUGCAGACGGCCACCUGGCCCUGACCUGACACUGAGGCGCGACAGCGUGGGGAGCGAACCGG
This 404-nucleotide ribosomal RNA is filed under the name uncultured bacterium. RNAcentral's name for it is "bacterial SSU rRNA". It matches the Rfam family "Bacterial small subunit ribosomal RNA", at positions 355 to 776 of the family's 1533-position model. The record is from RNAcentral.